Molecule: long non-coding RNA, 2179 nt
Organism: Diachasmimorpha longicaudata
Lineage: Eukaryota; Metazoa; Arthropoda; Insecta; Hymenoptera; Braconidae
Exons: 3
Source: RefSeq, a predicted model, not a curated record
AAUUGUUGAAAUUUUUGCGUCAACGAAACGAUUUAUUUUUGAAAAGUCGACGUUGAAGUGGAAAACAUUAAUUUUAUGGAGAAAUUUUUGAGAUAAAUUUGAUUGAAGGAAACAGAACUUUUUGAGAAUCGAAUUUCUUUUUAUUUUAUUGGAAUAACGAGAGGUUUUGGUUUCUUAUCAACCACAAGUAUUCUUUUUCCGUAAAUUCGUUGGUGCAGUCGAAAACCAAAAUUGUUAUUGUGAUUGAAUAUGUGGUUAUGGUAAUCAAGACGUCUCUACGUUAUUUUCAAGUUAAUUAUAAUUGAACUGAGAAAUUAAUGUGGCGAAUCAGAGAGGAUCUUGUUACGUGUAAAAUACUUUGAGAUUCUAAUGAGAUAUCGUCAAGUUGGGAGAACUUUAUAUUUCUUCCCCAGAACAACAAAAUAUUCAUUAACAAUAACGUAAUCACAGAUAACGUUGGAGAUCAUUAUUGGGUUUUAAAAAAAUCAAUUUUUUCAUUCUUCUGGUGAAUUUAUAUGACUCGACUCCAAAAGGUGUUUUAUUUGAUUCAAGUAAAUAUAACUCGAUACCAAUGGACAAAGUCGUAGGAGGGGAGCGCCCCAGGGUGUGGUGAGGCCCUCGAUUUUUUUUUUCUCGUCUUCUUUUUCACAACCCCGAUGGAGAAAAAGGAUACCCACUACCUUCCCCCUCCUGGGCACUGCCUGCUGCAGUCAUGCGACUCUUUCCACCAAAAAUCCGAGGAAAAUGUCGUAGUGGGGACGGGCUUUAUGUUCGGCCUUUUUUUUUCAUGAAAAUUCUUGCAGGUGUUUCACAUGGGGCCCCACCACCACACAAUGAAGAAUAAAAUGACGCCGAAUCAAGUGCGAGUGUUUCGUCAUUUUGAUCAAAUAUUUGGAAAUUUCGGGGGAAUUAGGUCUCCCUUAGGCGACUCGAACGUUCUUCACUCGAUCUCUUCUCGAAAUAUUUUUUUAAGUCUAAAUUACCGAACAAUUUAUCUUCACUAAUUCCUCUAAUUUUGGGUACCUUAUAAAUUUGAUUUUGUAAUUAAUUAAAAUUAUUGUUAUGUAAUUUUUAGUUGUGAUAAAAAGAACGAAAACAAUGAGGAACACAAAAAUAUUUGUUUCUGAUAAAUUCGAAAUUAGUUGAUUACAUUAAUUAAUUUUAUUAAUUAAUUAGUAUUUAAUUAUUCGUCAGUUAUCAUUGAAAAUGUCGAAUGAUUCCUCAUAUAAUUUCCCGCUGACCGGAGUAAUUUCCCUCGUCAAAAUUACCGCAACAUAAUUUCCUGUAAAUAUUAUUUAUUUCUCAACAAAUUCAGCAACAAAAUUCCCAAAAAAAAAAUUGAUUUGCAAUUUUGUUGUUAACAAUUUGAAAACAACGGAAAGUCGGAUGAUAUUCCGAGGGAGACAGACCCCACAUCAUUAAUUAUUAAUUAAUUAUUAAUUAAUUAUUGAAUAAUUCCUGAUCAUUGAUUCAAAUCUUUAUAAUUUCCUUUGGUAAUUGUGAUUAUUCUAUUUACACUUAUUUAAAAAUAUGAUCUGAAAUGCCUUCAGUUCACGUCUGACAGUGGUACCAUAAACUCAUCAUCAUACCCUUGAAAUUAAUUAAAUCAUUAAUUAAAUCUGAAGGUGGUGAGCACGUGAUGUUGGACCCUUUCAUGUGCCCCUUCCAAUCACAUAAAAAGUCUCCAAUUCGAAGAUGUCCUCAAUACAAUAAAACCAAAUUUACUGGUUAAACAUACACUAAAAACCAUCAACAUCAACUCAAAAAUAAAGUAAUGACUUUUUCAAAAUUUUUAAUAAUUAUUUUGUGCUAAAAAUGACUCGACUCCAAGAGCUGUUUCACUUAAUUAACGUAAACACAGCUCCCAGGGAAACGAUCCACAUUCCCCAUAAGGUCUAACAUACCUCAAAUGACUGUUAGUAAUUUCCACUUAUGUCAAAAAAAAAAAUGAACAAAAAUAAUUUUUAAUGAGUGUAAAUUAAUAAUUGAAAUAAGGACAUUUGUUUUUGUUUAUAUAGAGCUAUAUGUAUAUGUGAAUAUCAAAGUUAAAAUAGAAGAGAUUUUUAAGAGAGGCUGGGGAGGAUGUAAAACAAAGAAGAAUUUGUGACAUCAAAAAAAAUAAAUAUUAAUAAUAAUAAUAAUAAUUGAAAUACUCCGAAUGUUGUUUUCUUCGUAUUUG